This 229-nucleotide ribosomal RNA is filed under the name uncultured bacterium. RNAcentral's name for it is "partial 16S ribosomal RNA". It matches the Rfam family "Bacterial small subunit ribosomal RNA", at positions 568 to 796 of the family's 1533-position model. The record is from RNAcentral.
UGCGUAGGCGGAUUGUUAAGUCAGUGGUGAAAGUCUACGGCUCAACCGUAGAAGUGCCAUUGAUACUGGCAGUCUUGAGUACAGUAGAGGUAGGCGGAAUUUAUGGUGUAGCGGUGAAAUGCAUAGAUACCAUAAAGAACACCUAUAGCGAAGGCAGCUUACUAUGCUGUAACUGACGCUGAGGCACGAAAGCGUGGGGAACGAACAGGAUUAGAUACCCUGGUAGUCC